RNA transcript from Camelus dromedarius (Arabian camel), 1571 nucleotides. It is a transcript of the gene named decapping exoribonuclease, with no coding region annotated. The record is from RefSeq and is a predicted model, not a curated record. The transcript has 7 exons. NCBI's taxonomy places the organism in Eukaryota, Metazoa, Chordata, Mammalia, Artiodactyla, Camelidae.
GUCCGGGGACGCCCAGGCGGUGAGGAGGGGCGCCGGUGGCCACGUUGAGAUCAACCUGCUGGUGUAAAGCGCACAGACCACCCCCCCCACCCCCACCCCAGAGGAGUUUGCCUGCUACUGUCGCUGAAUGAUUGCGUCAUCGAAAGCUGGAAAACCACCUUGGCAUCCCUCUCCCACAUCUGACGUACCUGCCAUGACGUCAUAGCUCUGCGAAGGUGGAAGUCGAGGUUGGCGGGCUUUGAGGCCUCCUCUGUAAAAGGGGAACUUACCCAGCCCCUCUCAGGACCUCAUGGAGCCCAGAGGGACCAAGAGAGGAGCUGGAAAAAUAGAGGUAGCUGAGCCUCGGAACAAAGUCCCCCGCCCAGCACCCUCGCUGCCCACAGACCCUGCCCUCUACUCUGGACCCUUUCCUUUCUACCGGCGCCCUUCUGAACUGGGCUGCUUCUCCCUGGAUGCACAACGCCAGUACCAUGGAGAUGCUCGAGCCUUGCGCUACUACAGCCCACCCCCCACCAAUGGACAAGGACCCAACUUUGACCUCAGAGACGGAUACCCAGAUCGAUACCAGCCCCGGGACGAGGAGGUCCAAGAGAGGCUGGACCACCUGCUACGCUGGCUCCUGGAGCACCGAGGCCAGCUGGAGGGGAGUCCAGACUGGCGCCCAGGGGCCAUAGUGACAUGGCGGGGGCACCUGACAAAAUUGCUGACAACACCAUAUGAGCGGCAGGAGGGCUGGCAGCUGGCAGCCUCCCGGUUCCAGGGGACACUGUACCUGAGUGAGGUAGAGACGCCGGCUGCUCGGGUUCGGAGGCUUACCCGGCCACCUCUCCUCCGGGAGCUUAUGUACAUGGGGUACAAGUUCGAGCAGUACAUGUGUGCAGACAAACCCGGAGGCUCCCCAGACCCCUCUGGGGAGGUUAACACCAACGUGGCCUUCUGCUCUGUGCUACGCAGCCGCCUGGGGAACCAUCCACUGCUCUUCUCUGGGGAGGUAGACUGCAUAGACCCCCAGGCCCCAUCCAUGCAGCCCCCCACCUGCUAUGUGGAGCUCAAGACCUCCAAGGAAAUGCACAGCCCUGGCCAAUGGAAGAGCUUCUACAGACACAAGCUCCUGAAAUGGUGGGCUCAGUCAUUCCUUCCGGGGGUCCCAAAUGUCAUUGCUGGUUUCCGUAACCCAGAGGGUUUCGUCUGUUCCCUCAAGACCUUUCCUACCAUGGAGAUGUUUGAAUACGUCAGGUCUUCUGCCUCCUGGUCCCACUCCAGAAUGACCGUGAUGGCUGGAAUCCCUCAGUGUGCAUGAACUUCUGUGCUGCCUUCCUUAGCUUUGCCCAGAACACAGUUGUCCAGGACGACCCCAGACUCGUCUACCUCUUCUCCUGGGAGCCUGGUGGCCCAGUCACAGUGUCUGAACAUCGAGAUGCACCGCAUGCCUUUCUGCCUACAUGGUAUGUCGAAGCCAUGACCCAGGACCUCCUGUCACCCCCCAAGACACCCUCCCCAAAGGACUGAUGCUUCUCAGGGGCUGGUCCUGUUUCUGUGUGCAUAGAUAAAGGCAUAUUUCUAGGUGGUUC